GCUUGUGAACAUGUAAGGCAACUUUGCACUAAAUUUGGGUAAGUAGAAUGUACGCAAUCGUAAUAAUGAAAUAAAUCCGAACGCAAUCAUAACGCACCCGUUUUUCGUCUCAUUUUUCGCUGCUGACAAAGGCUGCAUGCGAUAACGCAAUUCAUAUUGCAUGUAGCAACUUGAGAUAACUACGUCAACACUUCUUUUUUAAGGUCUCAAAAUUUACCACCACGAAAUAAUUACAAUUCAUCAAAAUGUUCACCCAAUAUUAAAGAAAACGGGUUCUUUUGGAUGACAUUUCUAUUUAUUUUUUUGGUUUAUUUGACAAAGAAAAAACCAACCCCUAAAUUUAAAUACACCAUUGAUGCAUCCGGACUGCUGAACUUGUAGAACACUCUUACUCGGUGGGUCCGAUCCGUUUUAUAUUAUUUAUUUAUCGGCUUCGCCUUCGGUCAUGGGAUUGUCGGACACAUUGCAAGUUAUUUACAUAUAAUUUUCCCAAAUCCGAUUUUCCCGUCUUAUGUAAAUUAUUACCGUACAGGCUUUUUCGGUCUUUCUGGACGACCCCACGCAUUAUUCACCGAUAAAAAUACAUCAACAAUAAUAAUAAUAAUGAUACGGCAAUGAAGAAUAGUUCAUAAUCACCCGA
Molecule: non-coding RNA, 640 nt
Organism: Cinara cedri
Lineage: Eukaryota; Metazoa; Arthropoda; Insecta; Hemiptera; Aphididae
Source: the annotation of a GenBank genome assembly